This 1593-nucleotide long non-coding RNA is filed under the name Betta splendens (Siamese fighting fish). RNAcentral's name for it is "lncRNA (ENSBSLG00000002849.1)". Lineage: Eukaryota; Metazoa; Chordata; Actinopteri; Anabantiformes; Osphronemidae. The record is from RNAcentral.
CCCUACAGCACAAGAUUGCGAGUGAUUCUAGAGUUGCAGAACAAGAAGCAGGCAGCACCAGUAACGUCCAAUCUGAUGGAGGGAGCGCAGCUGAAGCUGAUGCUGGCAGCACCAGUAACGUACAAUCUGAUGGAAACAUAAUAGUUGGUACGUCAACAUCACCAUCAUCCUUAAAUGACAUUGAAGAUCAAGAUAAAUAUUUCAGUCAUCCAGUGCCACAAAGACCUUGUUUUUCUUUAUUCCUGAGGCUGACUGGAAUCAUUUAAGAAGUAAACAACACAAAUGUUGUUUCAAAACACUGGACUGGACCAAUGUCAUUGCGCAAGGCAUUCGCAGUGUACACCCGUUUUGCAGUUUUGCAUUCAAACGGCAUACUGUGAAAGCAGCUGGGUCUGUAAGAACUGGCCCUCUGUUUUCUUGUGCUGGGUAUUGUCGUUUUGAAGAAUGUCCCGUUGAAGUCUUUGUGAAAGUUAAUAACGAGCUGUCUCUUAAGGCUACUGUGACUUUCAAAGGAGACAAAGUGUGGCACAGUUGCAAUGUCUUAAAAAGACGGCCUGUACGUGCCAAUGACAGAUCUACAACAGCAGAUGUCCUAACCACGAAACUACCACGUAGCCUGUACUUAGAUAAUUUAGGGAAGCUGGCUGAGAGUGUGGUAGAUUCAGGUUGUAGGGACCAAGUUCCAACUCCAGGCACACUGAAAACUUUGUCCUGGGACAACAAAAGAAAAAAAGGAGUCAUACUAAUGAUUAUUAAGCUUGCAAAAAAAUGCAUGAAGAAGAGCAGGGAUCCCAGGAUGCCAUAAUACAAAAAAUACAAAUGCAUCCAAAAGGAGUAAUGCUGUGGUCCAAGAAGAUGCUGAGCCUCUUUUAUCAGCGGUGUAGGGAUGAUAUUGUUUACUUGGAUGCUACUGCGAGCAUUAUUCAAAAAGGAAAGGGUCGCAGUGCACCAUUCUACGUGUAUGAGCUAGUGGUGCGACAUCCUUCAAAGGGAUCGUCCCCUGUGCCAGUAGCGACAUAUGUCACAAAUGACCACACAACUGCGUCUGUGUCAUUUUUCUUGGCCUCAUUUGUGACAGACCUAAUAAGACAACAUGGACUGAGAAUUCAAACAAGGCCUGUCAUGUUUAUUUGCGAUGGCUCCAUAGUUUUACUGCAGUCACUGUCCUACAAUUUCUGUGGAGUCAGUCUUCAGGAGUUGUUGAACAGAUACUACAAUAUCGUGACAGGCCAGGCCCCGGAGGAUUCAAUUCGACUCCCAAUACUGCAUCGCUGCCUGAGCCAUGUAAUGAAAAAUGCCAAGGACCUUUGCAAAAAACAUGCCCCAAAACAUUACCACCUAGCAAUGCAUACCUUCGGUGCUAUGGCUCAGGCCACAACAAUUGAAGAGCUUGAAGAAAUCAUUGUCAGUGCUGCUGUUGUGUUCUCAAGGUCCCACAGUGGCCAAAAAGUUGACAAACAUUUCAAAAACCUUCAGUUGAUAAUGACACAAGGAGGAAGAACUGACAUUGAGGACUCAUCCAUUGUGGAGCUGGAUUUUAUGGUCUGUAUAAAAUGCUACCAUAAUUCUUUACACAUUGCAUAUAUGACUUAA